This is a long non-coding RNA of Passer domesticus (house sparrow), 1557 nucleotides long. RefSeq lists it as uncharacterized. The transcript has 2 exons. The record is from RefSeq and is a predicted model, not a curated record. Lineage: Eukaryota; Metazoa; Chordata; Aves; Passeriformes; Passeridae.
GUUAAAGUCUAACAAGCGGUCAAUUAAAUGGUUGUAAUAAUUAACACCCUUGGAAUUGAUGGUCUUGUUGGUGCCAGCAGGGAAAAUUCUAGACCAGGAUACAGAAAAUUUGUACAGCUGGGACUGAAGACCUCUAAGCAGCUUCAGAAGAAUCCCAGCACAGCUCUGGAUGCAAAACCAACAAAAGUGGUGUUAUCUGCAUGGCUGGGGCUGGGUCCACCAGAGGUCAGGGCGUGCAGGGCAGCAGGAGGCACAUUUGAGCUCUAAUCCUGGGGGAAUAAAGGACAUCUGAGAUGUGGAACCUCACCCAGCUGGAAAAGUGACUCUGAUGUGAAUUCAGGCAGCAGCAAGAGUAACAUCCAGGAAUUUGAGUCUCAAUUUUUUUGCUUUCCAAAGCUCUCCCUCCUUCAGCCCUGAAAACACUGCUCUCCCAGCAGGGUGAACACGUUCAGGUCACCCACCUGAACUGCUGAAGGGCACAGCCAACUCAGCUCUUCUGAAUUCCAGUACAGCAGAACUGAAGGGCUGAGAACACUUUUAAACCAACUAAACACAAAAUUCUACAUACCUGUGAAAUGUUGGUUCUGUCUCAGAGUUCAUUUCCUAUAACAACCAAAAUUUUGUUUAAAGCUUAUCUGCAAUCAUCUGGGCAAGUUAUUGCUGUCAAGCAAUAUUUUCUUUGAGUUACAGCUGAUGAUAUAUUCCUCGACAUUUGCUGUUACUCAAACCUUAUACAGGGAUUGUAAUUUGUGUACUUUGACUCUAUUUGACUCCCAGAUUUUUUCUUUUCCCAGGAAGCUCUAAAGAGCUCACUAUAACAUUGUGCUGAGUGUUCUGAACAAGUUCCCUCCACUCUGAUGUCUGAAUAGCACGUUUAAAAAUUAACUUUACAGCACCACCUGGUGCUUACUUUUCAGUAGAGCUGCAUUAACUCAGAGAAAACCCCUCUCAGCCUACAGAACUGGGGAAAGAAGCAGAAAAAAAUACCUUCUCCUACAUGAAGAGUAUUUUCAAAUUAAGAUUGAGAGGAUAAUAUGAACAUAAUGACGGCCAAACAUCUUCCCAUUGUUAUUUUGAAAGUAAAGGAACAAUAUAGAAUAACAUGAAAGUAUUAUUGCAGGUGGGUGGCUAUUUUUAAUGAAAUGUAGAAUUUGCCAAAAUGUGGUUUAUAAAAUAAAUGAGUGGAGAAGUUACUGCAGUUGGAGUUAGUGCCCAGUGAUGGGGUAGUGCUCAUCCAGGAAAUAAGACAAAUAUUCAGGUAUUUUAAAUUCUUAAUAGAUAAUUUAAUAACCCUCUAGUUUACAGUAAAAAAAUUGAGAGCAGAAAUUCAAGCAAAGUUUUCUUAUAGAAAGAUCUUCAAACAGGUUUACAAAUACAGUCUUAAAAAUCCCUCACAAAUGGUGGCAGUUUUUAAUUCACUUACAAGUCAAGACAUUCAUCAAGGUAGGGGUUUCUGCCCUGCUGACUUAAAGCCUUGCUUUGGGCUUGGCUAUUUGCUAUUUUCUACUUGAUAUAUGCAACAGGAGCCUGCACAUCUUUAGUCCAUCUAAAAAGAAA